RNAcentral lists this long non-coding RNA (768 nucleotides) under Homo sapiens (human). RNAcentral's name for it is "HSALNT0223721". The record is from RNAcentral. Lineage: Eukaryota; Metazoa; Chordata; Mammalia; Primates; Hominidae.
UGGGGAUGAGCACGCCCCCAGGAACUUCCACCCAGCUCACAACCCAGCAGGGAGGGGUUUGUGUCACAUUCACCAUCUGACUAGGGAGAGACAGAGUUUGUGGUGAAUACCCACAUUCUUAGCCUAAGAUUCACCUGCUAAUUGCAUCUUCUAAUGUUGUCCAAGUUUUGCUAGGUGACACUCCUCACUCCAAGGAAGCUGUGCCUUUCUUAGGGUAGCCCCCAGGGCAUCUUGUUGCCAAAAGGCCUCAGUUUCCCUAGAGAUCUCGGUUCCUACACUAACUGCCAAGCGCUGGAAGGGUGGAACCAAGAUGAGGCACAGUGGGGCCGGUGCUCAGGAAAGCAGGCUCCUCUGGGGCAGAGAAUGCCCGCCAGAGAACAUGCCCCCCGACCUGGGCUCCCUUUCGGCCAUUGAUGAGGAAACCUGUCCCACGUCUGCGGCAGCGAUGAGGCCUGGAGGGCAGGGCCUGGCGCUGCCUGGCAAUGAGCGUCCCAGGUAUUUGGUGAGAGGUUCAACGGUCCAGACUUCGAGGGGGACAAUCUGGCAACAUGCAUCUGAAACCUUAAAGUGUACAUAUAGCCUUUGACUCUGCAAUAUCACUUACAUGAAUUUCUACUAAGGAAAUUGUUAAGGAUAUGUCCCAGUAAUCAUCCUCCAGGUGGUUGAUGGACAACCCUGUUGAAGAUUUCAAAAAUCAGAAAGGAGCUGUGUGUUAAACAAUAAAAGUUGUGUUAAAAGAUUGUCCGUCUAGUAAAUAAAGUAUUAUCC